CAGCCGCCGCGGGAACACGUAGGGUGCAAGCGUUAAUCGGAAUUACUGGGCGUAAAGCGUGCGCAGGCGGUUAUAUAAGACAGAUGUGAAAUCCCCGGGCUCAACCUGGGAACUGCAUUUGUGACUGUAUAGCUAGAGUACGGCAGAGGGGGAUGGAAUUCCGCGUGUAGCAGUGAAAUGCGUAGAUAUGCGGAGGAACACCGAUGGCGAAGGCAAUCCCCUGGGCCUGUACUGACGCUCAUGCACGAAAGCGUGGGGAGCAAACAGGAUUAGAUACCCCUGUAGUCCUGUCUCUUAUACA
Molecule: ribosomal RNA, 301 nt
Filed under: uncultured bacterium
Lineage: Bacteria
Description: partial 16S ribosomal RNA
Rfam family: Bacterial small subunit ribosomal RNA
Source: RNAcentral